UAGGGAAUCUUCGGCAAUGGGGGCAACCCUGACCGAGCAACGCCGCGUGAGUGAAGAAGGUUUUCGGAUCGUAAAGCUCUGUUGUAAGUCAAGAGCGGGUGUGAGAGUGGAAAGUUCACACUGUGACGGUAGCUUACCAGAAAGGGACGGCUAACUACGUGCCAGCAGCCGCGGUAAUACGUAGGUCCCGAGCGUUGUCCGGAUUUAUUGGGCGUAAAGCGAGCGCAGGCGGUUUGAUAAGUCUU
This 245-nucleotide ribosomal RNA is filed under the name uncultured bacterium. Its description in RNAcentral is "partial 16S ribosomal RNA". It matches the Rfam family "Bacterial small subunit ribosomal RNA", at positions 355 to 591 of the family's 1533-position model. The record is from RNAcentral.